RNAcentral lists this ribosomal RNA (694 nucleotides) under uncultured bacterium. Its description in RNAcentral is "bacterial SSU rRNA". It matches the Rfam family "Bacterial small subunit ribosomal RNA", at positions 32 to 715 of the family's 1533-position model. The record is from RNAcentral.
AACGCUAGCUACAGGCUUAACACAUGCAAGUCGAGGGGUAACGAGAGGAAAGCUUGCUUUCCUUGUCGACGACCGGCGCACGGGUGAGUAACGCGUAUCCAACCUGCCCCCAACUAGGGAAUAACCUUGCGAAAGUAAGACUAAUACCCUAUAAUUUCCUCAGAUGUCAUCUGACGAGGAAUAAAGAUUUAUCGGUUGUGGAUGGGGAUGCGUCUGAUUAGCUUGUUGGCGGGGUAACGGCCCACCAAGGCAACGAUCAGUAGGGGUUCUGAGAGGAAGGUCCCCCACAUUGGAACUGAGACACGGUCCAAACUCCUACGGGAGGCAGCAGUGAGGAAUAUUGGUCAAUGGGCGAAAGCCUGAACCAGCCAAGUAGCGUGCAGGAUGACGGCCCUAUGGGUUGUAAACUGCUUUUAUACAGGAAUAAAGUUAGCCACGUGUGGUUAUUUGUAGGUACUGUAUGAAUAAGGACCGGCUAAUUCCGUGCCAGCAGCCGCGGUAGUACGGAAGGUCCAGGCGUUAUCCGGAUUUAUUGGGUUUAAAGGGAGCGUAGGCCGUCUGUUAAGCGUGUUGUGAAAUGUAGAUGCUCAACAUCUGAAUUGCAGCGCGAACUGGCAGACUUGAGUGUGCGCAACGUAGGCGGAAUUCGUGGUGUAGCGGUGAAAUGCUUAGAUAUCACGAAGAACUCCGAUUG